GCUGGGCGUGGUGGCGCAUGCCUGUAAUCCCAGCUACUUGGGAGGCUGAGACAGGAGAAUCACUUGAAUCUGGGAGGCAGAGGUUACAAUGAGCCAAGAACCGUGCCAUUGCACUCCUGCCUGGGUGACAGAGUGAGACUCUGUCUCAA
RNAcentral lists this signal recognition particle RNA (149 nucleotides) under Pan troglodytes (chimpanzee). Its description in RNAcentral is "Metazoan signal recognition particle RNA". It matches the Rfam family "Metazoan signal recognition particle RNA". Rfam says of the family: The signal recognition particle (SRP) is a universally conserved ribonucleoprotein. It is involved in the co-translational targeting of proteins to membranes. The eukaryotic SRP consists of a 300-nucleotide 7S RNA and six proteins: SRPs 72, 68, 54, 19, 14, and 9. Lineage: Eukaryota; Metazoa; Chordata; Mammalia; Primates; Hominidae. The record is from Rfam by way of RNAcentral.